CAGAACAAUCAGGACAAUCAGACAGUUCAAACCAGCAAGGCGAUACAGACAUCAAACCCCCAGCAAAUGGCCACUUGAGUUUCCACGACUGCUUUGUGACUUCAGGGGUGUGGAACGUGGCUGAGCUGGUCCGCGUGUCACAGACUCCAGUGGCCACAGCGACAGGCCCAAACUUCUCUCUGGCAGACCUGGACAGCCCAGGCUAUUACAACAUCAACCAGGUCACCCUGGGACGUCGUUCCAUCACCUCCACCCCCUCCACCAGGUACA
Girardinichthys multiradiatus is the source of this 270-nucleotide long non-coding RNA. RefSeq lists it as uncharacterized. The record is from RefSeq and is a predicted model, not a curated record. The transcript is spliced from 3 exons. Lineage: Eukaryota; Metazoa; Chordata; Actinopteri; Cyprinodontiformes; Goodeidae.